AUUUAUAAUCUUAUUUUACUUAGGUAACCAAAGUAUUGUUGUUUAUGAGUAUCGGUAAGAAAUUAAAUUAGUAAGUGAUAGUGCAUUAGUAUUGUGAGAGGGGGUUUAAAUAUAAUGAAAUUUAGAUUGAAAAGAAGAAAAGUUUAGUAUUUGUACCUUGGGUAUCAGGGUUUACUAAAAAUAUAUUUUAAAAUUAAAUUGUCUCGAACUUUAAAGGGCUAAUAAGUUAUAUAUUUAAUUGUGGAAUAAAUUUUUGUAAUAUUUUAUUAGAAAUGAGAUGUUAGUCGUUUUUUAGGAUAUCUAGUUACUUAAGAAAUCAAUUUAAUUGGGCGGCUUUUACUAAUUGGUCAAUUUGUGGGCUUUUUGGUUUAGGUUAGUAAUAUUCUAGGGGUUAAGCUUUGGAUUAAAGAUUUAUAAGUUAAUGAAUAAGUACGAAAUUUAGAAGGAUUGAAAAUUUCUUUUUGUUUGUUAUAAUUAUUUUUUGGUUAAAUAAUAUUUAUAUUAAUAUUUUAAGUGUUUUAUUAAGUUAAUUGGUUUAAUUUUUUGUUCAAUAAGAUAAUGGUUGAAUUAGUAUAUGCAUAAAUGUAGUUUUGUUGAUUUUGUGUUGGAAAGGUUAUGUUAAGGAACUCGGCAAAUGUAUUUUCCGCCUGUUUAUUAAAAACAUGGCGUUUUGAUUAUAAUUUAAGGUCUGGUCUGCCCGAUGAGGAGUUCAAUGGCCGCGGUAUUUUGACCGUGCAAAGGUAGCAUAAUCAUUAGUUUUUUAAUUGAAAGCUGGAAUGAAUGGCUGGACGAGAAAAUAGCUGUCUCAAUGUAAUUUAAUUAGAAUUUUAUUUUUAAGUAAAAAAGCUUAGAUAGGUUUAAAAGACGAGAAGACCCUAUAGAGUUUUAUAUAAUUAUUUUAUUUACUUUUUUAGUAUAAUUUGGUUAGUAUAGGAAUAUGUAUUUUGUUGGGGCGAUAGGAAAAUUUAAGGAACUUUUCUUUUUUUAUUACAUUGAUUUAUGGUUAUUUGAUCCAUUUUUGUUGAUUAUAAGAUUAAAUUACCUUAGGGAUAACAGCGCAAUUUCUUUUGAGAGUUCUAAUCGACAGAGAAGUUUGUGACCUCGAUGUUGGAUUAAAGUUAAUUUCUGGUGCAGAAGCUAGAAAAUUAGGUCUGUUCGACCUUUAAAACUUUACAUGAUCUGAGUUUAAACCGGUGUGAGCCAGGUUGGUUUCUAUCUUUAAAUUAGUUAAAUAUUUUAGUACGAAAGGACCGAUUAUUUAUAAAAUUUGUUUAAGAAUGUGGUUUAUUAAUUU
This 1294-nucleotide ribosomal RNA is filed under the name Cheirotonus jansoni. RNAcentral's name for it is "16S ribosomal RNA". The stretch from base 858 to 1222 matches the Rfam family "Bacterial large subunit ribosomal RNA", at positions 2073 to 2647 of the family's 2925-position model. The record is from RNAcentral. Lineage: Eukaryota; Metazoa; Arthropoda; Insecta; Coleoptera; Scarabaeidae.